GAUGAACGCUGGCGGCGUGCCUAAUACAUGCAAGUCGAGCGAACGGACGAGAAGCUUGCUUCUCUGAUGUUAGCGGCGGACGGGUGAGUAACACGUGGAUAACCUCCCUUUAAAACGGGAAAAACUUCGGGAACCCGGAGCUAAUACCGAAAAAUAUUUUAAACCGCAGGUUUAAAAGUUGAAAAACGUUCUUCCUGUCACUUAUAGAUGAAUCCGCGCUGCAUUAGCUAGUUGGUAAGGUAACGGCUUACCAAGGCAACGAUGCAUAGCCGACCUGAGAGGGUGAUCGGCCACACUGGAACUGAGACACGGUCCAGACUCCUACGGGAGGCAGCAGUAGGGAAUCUUCCGCAAUGGGCGAAAGCCUGACGGAGCAACGCCGCGUGAGUGAUGAAGGUCUUCGGAUCGUAAAACUCUGUUAUUAGGGAAGAACAUAUGUGUAAGUAACUGUGCACAUCUUGACGGUACCUAAUCAGAAAGCCACGGCUAACUACGUG
This 497-nucleotide ribosomal RNA is filed under the name uncultured bacterium. RNAcentral describes it as "partial 16S ribosomal RNA". It matches the Rfam family "Bacterial small subunit ribosomal RNA", at positions 28 to 507 of the family's 1533-position model. The record is from RNAcentral.